Molecule: transfer RNA, 65 nt
Filed under: Phyllomimus sinicus
Lineage: Eukaryota; Metazoa; Arthropoda; Insecta; Orthoptera; Tettigoniidae
Description: tRNA-Ala
Rfam family: tRNA
About the family: Transfer RNA (tRNA) molecules are approximately 80 nucleotides in length.
Source: RNAcentral
AGGGUUGUAGUUAAUUAUAACAUUUGAUUUGCAUUCAAAAAGUACUAUAUUCAUAGUCUACCUUA